This 4626-nucleotide long non-coding RNA is filed under the name Heterocephalus glaber (naked mole-rat). Its description in RNAcentral is "lncRNA (ENSHGLG00100046495.1)". The record is from RNAcentral. Lineage: Eukaryota; Metazoa; Chordata; Mammalia; Rodentia; Bathyergidae.
GGGGGUGGGGUGGAAUAAAAUAAAAUAAAAUAAAUUUAUUUAAAAACUAAAAACCAUUUAAAAAUAAAACAUAAAGGCCCCUAUGCAACCCUGGAACCCUGGCUGAGAUGGGGUGUAGAGGGGAGGAGAGGAGGUGCCCCGGACUCGGUGUCAUUCUGAAACCAGGCCUUCUAGCGCCCACAGGAUCCCUAGGAGGGCCUCGGGCCUGACCUGUCUCCUCCACGCUGUUACCUGAGAUUGUCCCCACCCUCUGUGCACUGGAAGUCCAGGCCUGCAGGCUGGGACCUCAGAAAGGCGUGCAGGUGGGACAGCUCCAGGGCUCUCCAGAUGUCCUCCUCUGAGUACUGGCCGAAGGGGUCCAGGUUCAUGCGCAGGGUCCCUGAGAACAGGACGGGGUCCUGGACAUACAACAGGGCCUGAGAGAGGCAGCUCAGGGCCCACAAGGAACCCUGGGCCCCAGGCGCAAGGAAAACAAUGAGAUGAGGGUGGCAACAUCCUCACUGGGUCCCCAGCCCUCCAGGAGGAAGACCAGGUUGGAGGAGAGAGCAAAUUGCCUGCAGGGGAGUGAUAAACCCCAGCUUUGGCAAUCACUAAGUCCUUCACUAAAGCAGGAGCCAGAGCUACAAAUCUCACUCCGGAAGUGUCCAGUCAGCAGAAAAAAUACCCCGGGGGAGCCAGAAAAGAUGCCGUGCAAUCCUGAGCCUCAAAAGCAAGAGACCAGGAGAGAAGGUCUCAGGGACGGGUGGGGGCUGGGGAGGCCCUUGCUCCUUCCCCUUCGCUGGCCCAGCACUGGGUCGCUCCUGGGUGGCCCUGCUCUCUGCUAUGGGGUUCUGUCCCCCACACCCCUCCCAAGGCCAGGCACUUGGCUUGGUCCUCAAGCUACAGAACAGGGGUGCCUCCUCCCCCAUGGACACCACACCUGGCUGGGCCGGGGCAGGCUUAUACCUGUGGGAUGAUGGUCAGCUGAGAACGCAGGUCCUGGAGGCCAAUGUCUGCCACGUUGAGACCGUCGAUGAAGAUGUCACCCUCUGCUGCCUCCAGGAUCCGGAACAGGCAGAGGGUCAUGGAUGAUUUGCCAGCCCCAGUGCGGCCCACGAUGCCCACCUGUGGGGGUGGGGGAGGGACUGUCAGGGGAAGCUGGAAGGGCACAGCGGUCUCCCCUAAGGCCACAGUGGCCUCCCCAAGCAUGGGUACCUUCUCACCGCCAUGCACACAAAGACUCAGGUUCUUCAGCACCAGCUCCAGGCCUGGCCGGUACCGCACGGAAUAGUUCCGGAAUUCCACCUCCCCUCGCUGGGGCCAGCCUUCAGGAGGGCGGCUGCCCUCCACCACCCAGGGGGCCUGGCAGAGGGGGAGCGGGUCUCAGCAGGGUGGCACCUUCCCCACCUCUCUGUCCAGGCCCCCUCAGUCCCCAUCACUGUGGUGGCCAGAGUCCUUUCUCUUCCUUGCAGCGCUGAGGAUUAAAGCCAGGGCCUUGCACAUGCUAGGCAAGUGCUCCACCACUGAGCUGCAUCCCCAGACUUAAGGCUCUGACUUUUUCUCUGUGCUAUGGAUUGAUCCCAGGACCUUUGCCCUGAGCUAUAUCCCUAGUCCCUUUUCUUUUUUACUUUUUUGAGACAGGGUCUUCUGGCUAAGUGGCUACACUGCCUAGGUUGGGCUUGAACUUGUGUCCUUCUGCCUCAGCCUCCCAGAAUGCUGGUUAUAAAUGCUUUUGCCACCAUUUCUUUGACUUUAUUUCUGCUGAGCUGUUCCAAAACUUCCCAUCCUGUUCCCUCCCACUCCUUCCUCAUGCCCCACACUCCUGAGGAGGCUGCCCUGCCUUCCCUAGCACCUCCUUCCCUCACUUUGUCCAUCUAGUUGCUAAGUAGGACUUGCCGCCAGGCAGUGUCCCCAAGGAGACAAUGUUUUUGCCCCAGGAGGUUACAUUCUAGCCCAGGUGCUAGAACACACAAGCACAAUGCUGUGCUGGGCUGCCCCAGGCUGGUCAGGAGCUUCCUGGAGGAGGUGCUAUUUAGUAAGGGCUGCAGGGAGGGACAAGGCUGGGGUACCAGGUACCUGAACACAAGGACAAGUGCAAAGGCCCCCAGGUGUGUUCUUUUUUUUUGGGUUUUUUGAGGCAGGGUCUCCCUUUGUAGUUCAGGCUGUUCCUGAACUCAUGAUCCUCCUGCCUCAGCCUCCUGAGUGCUGGAAUUACAGGCGUACACCACCAGACCCAGUCUCCAGGUGUGUGUGUUCUGAAGUACAGAGACUAGGGUAGGAAGCAGCAGGCUGAGACAGGGUGGGGGGUGGCGCACAGUGAAGGGACUCACAGGCCACUUCCAGGACUAUGGCUUUGCCCUGAGCAAGAUCAUCAGGGCCACACACAGAGGCACAACAAGAUCUGGUGUGUUUUGAAAGGAGGAAUAAUAGGACCAGAAAGCAGGCUGCAGGUAGCGGGUGAGAUCCAGGGUAAUGAGACAGUCGGGAGAGCAUGUGUAGAAGAUGAUUUAAAACAAGUUCGCGACUGGAGGAGAGUAGAGAACUGGGGCAGCAGGAUGCAGGGGGCAGGGAGGGCUUGUGUGUCUAGAAUGGAACAUGGAGGAACAUUUUUGCACAUGGAUGGGAAUCAUCCAACAGAGGGAGCAAGACUGACAGAAUCAGGCAUGGGUGAGGAACUGAGUCCUGGAGCUGCAGCCGCAGGAAGAGGCAGAGGGCUGGAGUAAUGUGUGUUCAGAGAGAAGGGAAGAUGGGGUGCAGGGAGAGGAGCAGGGCAAGGGCUCUGGGGGCAGGAAGGCUGAGGGAGCACAUGUCUUCUAACCCAGUUUCUCCUGGGUGGGAGUGUCAGGCAGGGUCACCAGCUGAGCACAGGGAGAUGUGGCUGAGGACAGAGGAUGUUGCAAAGAGGUUGCUCUGAAAUUGGGAACAUGAGCUUCCUAGGGAAGCAAACAGGAACCCGGCAGUGGUUGCACACAUGAAGUACGGUCACUGAUUCCCUCCAGGCAGCUGUUCUGUGCAAGGAUGAAGAAGGUGGACAGGAGGGAUGUAGGGGAGAGGGUGGGAGAAAGGAGGGGGAAGGAAGUUGUGAGCAUUCAUGUUGGUAGGGCAGAGAAUCUAGGCCAGCUGGGAGGGAGUUGAAGCCAGGGGAGACAAUGGAGAGACAAAGGUGCAUCACAGUCAUCCCAGCAAGGAUUGAGUCCUGUGGCAACACAGGACUUGGAGCACAUGAGCCAGGAGAGAUGGGAGGUGGUCUAUGAAAUUGACACUGAGAGCUUAGAGAUGGUGUAGCUGCAGGGCAUGGCAAGGUUGGGGGUGUGACCAUGGCAGGGGCAGUGGAGAAAGUCUGGACUCCCCAGGUGAGGGCUCAUAACAAAGGGCAUGAGGCCCCACCUGGACUCCUUGGACCAGCCUGGUCCCUUUUGCGGCAAUGCUCACCUUCCCCUGCUCUGUGCCACCAUCUUUCCUAGUUGGUCAAAACCCAACCAUCUUUCUAAUCUCAGCUUGCUCCCUGCUCAUCCCAGCUGCACGAUCUCCCCUAUCUGUCCUCUUGCGGUGCACCACCCCACAGCUCCUGUCCACUGCAGAGCCUGCCAAAGGUCUCACCUUCCGUCAGAAUGAAUCUGCUGAGGGCACUGUCUUGCUAAGUCUGAGCCCUUCUACACCUCCCAUCAUUAACCUCUGGCUGACGCUCUGAGGGUUGAAUCGUAGGAUGAAUGGAUGGAUAGAUGGAUGGUUGGAUGGGUGGAUGGUUGGUUGGAUGGAUGGAUGGAUGGAUGGUUGGUUGGAUGGAUGAGUGGAUGGAUGGAUGGAUGGAUGGAUGGAUACAUGCAUGGAUGGUUGGUUGGAUGGAUGGAUGGAUGGAUGGAUGGAUGGAUAGAUGGAUGGUGUGCUAACUAAACAGUUGGCCUCAAUGUGAGGGCUGGUGAGUUACCAAGCAUAUGUCCUCAGCCAUUCCAGAUUACCCCUGACCUGUACUCAUCCCGGGACUUACCUCAGUCUCUGUCUUCGAAUACACCUUGACUCUCUCCACAGCUACAAUAUUAGACUCCAAGUCUGACAUCACUCGUAUCAGCCAGUUCAGAGACAUUGUCACCUGGCCAAAGGGACUGGGUUAUGGCAGGGCUCCACUCAGCAACAGUUUCGAGAAGAGUUCCAUCCUUGAUCAGGCUCCCACCAAUGAGAUGUUAUCCUAUCUGUGACCCACAAGUGUGCGGACUGAGGCUGUCAUCACAACUGUGCCUCAGGCAGUGACAAAGCAGACUUGACCAAGGACUGCCUCACUCUUCCUUUCUCAAAUUUGAAUAUAUUUCAGUCUCCCCAGAGAUUCUUGUUAAGAUGCAGCUUUUGAUCCAGUGGGUCUGAGGUGGGACCGGAAAGUCUUCAUUCCUAACAAUCUCCCAGAAGACAGCAAUAUGGCCAGCCCAGGGACCACACUUUGGGUGCCAGAGAGUCUUGGGAGAAAUGCAGAAUCCUGAGCUGCAUCCUGGACCCAGUAAAUCAGAAUGUAUGUUUUAACAAGCUCUCCAGGUGGCCCGCACACAUUUGUGUUUGAGACGCCAGGCCUGCCUGGUUUGCCUUUUGUUCAGCAAAGCAUUCAAGAUUUGAGCCACCUGAGGCAUUAACAAUUCACUCUGCUUUACAAGAAUUCUA